UCGGGAAUUUUGGGCAAUGGGCGCAAGCCUGACCCAGCAACGCCGCGUGAGGGAUGAAAUCCUUCGGGAUGUAAACCUCGUAAGAAUGGGAAGAAUAAGUAGGGGAUAAUACCCUCUAUGAUGACGGUACCAUUUGUAAGCUCCGGCUAACUCCGUGCCAGCAGCCGCGGUAAUACGGGGGGAGCAAGCGUUGUUCGGAUUUACUGGGCGUAAAGGGCGCGUAGGCGGUCAUGACAAGUCACUUGUGAAAUCUCCGGGCUUAACUCGGAACGGUCAAGUGAUACUGUCAGACUAGAGUGCAGAAGGGGCAACUGGAAUUCUCGGUGUAGCGGUGAAAUGCGUAGAUAUCGAGAGGAACACCUGCGGCGAAGGCGGGUUGCUGGGCUGACACUGACGCUGAGGCGCGAAAGCCAGGGGAGCGAACGG
RNAcentral lists this ribosomal RNA (426 nucleotides) under uncultured bacterium. Its description in RNAcentral is "bacterial SSU rRNA". It matches the Rfam family "Bacterial small subunit ribosomal RNA", at positions 355 to 775 of the family's 1533-position model. The record is from RNAcentral.